This 253-nucleotide ribosomal RNA is filed under the name uncultured bacterium. RNAcentral describes it as "partial 16S ribosomal RNA". It matches the Rfam family "Bacterial small subunit ribosomal RNA", at positions 524 to 776 of the family's 1533-position model. The record is from RNAcentral.
UACGGGGGGGGCAAGCGUUGUUCGGAAUUACUGGGCGUAAAGGGCUCGUAGGUGGCCAACUAAGUCAGACGUGAAAUCCCUCGGCUUAACCGGGGAACUGCGUCUGAUACUGGAUGGCUUGAGUUUGGGAGAGGGACGCGGAAUUCCAGGUGUAGCGGUGAAAUGCGUAGAUAUCUGGAGGAACACCGGUGGCGAAGGCGGCUUCUUGGGCCAUUUCUGACGCUGAGGCGCGAAAGCUAGGGGAGCGAACGGG